RNAcentral lists this ribosomal RNA (172 nucleotides) under uncultured bacterium. RNAcentral describes it as "partial 16S ribosomal RNA". It matches the Rfam family "Bacterial small subunit ribosomal RNA", at positions 335 to 524 of the family's 1533-position model. The record is from RNAcentral.
ACUCCUACGGGAGGCAGCAGUGGGGAAUAUUGCACAAUGGGGGAAACCCUGAUGCAGCAAUGCCGCGUGAGCGAUGAAGGCCUUUGGGUCGUAAAGCUCUGUCCUCAAGGAAGAUAAUGACGGUACUUGAGGAGGAAGCCCCGGCUAACUACGUGCCAGCAGCCGCGGUAAU